This 243-nucleotide long non-coding RNA is filed under the name Hordeum vulgare. RNAcentral describes it as "long non-coding RNA (HVUL_LNC011217)". Lineage: Eukaryota; Viridiplantae; Streptophyta; Magnoliopsida; Poales; Poaceae. The record is from RNAcentral.
UUUUUAUAUAUUUUUUGUGGAAUUUUUCGGGCACUGUAAAUAUGGGUAUAAACCUGCAAUUCACGGACAUCAGCAAACAGAAACUGGCACUUGGUGCACUGACUUAGUAGGUUAGUCCAAAUAUGUUGAAAAACGUAUGAAAGUGUACAAAACACAUAACAAUAUCACCCAAAACUUGCAUGGAGCAAGAAGAAAUUAUAGAUACGUUUGGGACGUAUCAGGCCCCUCCUGGUGAAACCGCGG